CGAACGACUCUCGGCAACGGAUAUCCCGGCUCUCGCAUCGAUGAAGAACGUAGCGAAAUGCGAUACUUGGUGUGAAUUGCAGAUCCCGUGAACCAUCGAGUCUUUGAACGCAAGUUGCGCCUGAAGCCAUUAGGCUGAGGGCACGUCUGCCUGGGUGUCACGC
RNAcentral lists this ribosomal RNA (163 nucleotides) under Elaeoselinum garganicum. RNAcentral describes it as "Thapsia garganica 5.8S ribosomal RNA". It matches the Rfam family "5.8S ribosomal RNA". Rfam says of the family: 5.8S ribosomal RNA (5.8S rRNA) is a component of the large subunit of the eukaryotic ribosome. The record is from RNAcentral. Lineage: Eukaryota; Viridiplantae; Streptophyta; Magnoliopsida; Apiales; Apiaceae.